GAUGAAGAACGCAGCGAAAUGCGAUAAGUAGUGUGAAUUGCAGAAUUCAGUGAAUCAUCGAAUCUUUGAACGCACAUUGCGCCUCCUGGUAUUCCGGGAGGCAUGCCUGUUCGAGCAUCAUUAAAAUCACUCAAGCUUAGGUUUACCUAUUGCUUGGUCUUGGAGAUGGAAGCCAAUUUAUUGGAAUCCUCUUCGAAAUUCAAUGGCGAAGACCCUUGCUCUCCCAAGUGUAGUAAUAACUUAUGUCACUGAAGGAAGCGAGAAAUCUUCUGCCGUAACCCCCAUAUUUUCUAUGAUUGACCUCGGAUCAGGUAGGGAUACCCGCUGAACUUAAGCAUAUCAAUAAGCGGAGGA
This 354-nucleotide unclassified non-coding RNA is filed under the name soil metagenome. Its description in RNAcentral is "partial contains 5.8S ribosomal RNA, internal transcribed spacer 2, and large subunit ribosomal RNA". The stretch from base 1 to 120 matches the Rfam family "5.8S ribosomal RNA", at positions 35 to 154 of the family's 154-position model. The record is from RNAcentral.